This 452-nucleotide ribosomal RNA is filed under the name uncultured bacterium. RNAcentral describes it as "bacterial SSU rRNA". It matches the Rfam family "Bacterial small subunit ribosomal RNA", at positions 8 to 507 of the family's 1533-position model. The record is from RNAcentral.
AGAGUUUGAUCAUGGCUCAGAUUGAACGCUGGCGGCAUGCCUUACACAUGCAAGUCGAACGAACCCUUCGGGGUUAGUGGCGCACGGGUGCGUAACACGUGGGAAUCUGCCCUUUGCUUCGGAAUAACAGUUAGAAAUGACUGCUAAUACCGGAUGAUGUCGUAAGACCAAAGAUUUAUCGGCAAAGGAUGAGCCCGCGUAGGAUUAGGUAGUUGGUGGGGUAAAGGCCUACCAAGCCGACGAUCCUUAGCUGGUCUGAGAGGAUGAUCAGCCACACUGGGACUGAGACACGGCCCAGACUCCUACGGGAGGCAGCAGUGGGGAAUAUUGGACAAUGGGCGAAAGCCUGAUCCAGCAAUGCCGCGUGAGUGAUGAAGGCCUUCGGGUUGUAAAGCUCUUUACCAGGGAUGAUAAUGACAGUACCUGGAGAAUAAGCUCCGGCUAACUCCGUG